Molecule: ribosomal RNA, 254 nt
Filed under: uncultured bacterium
Lineage: Bacteria
Description: partial 16S ribosomal RNA
Rfam family: Bacterial small subunit ribosomal RNA
Source: RNAcentral
UACGUAGGGUGCGAGCGUUUGUCCGGAUUUAUUGGGCGUAAAGAGCGUGUAGGCGGUUAGAUAGGUCCGUUGUGAAAACUCGAGGCUCAACCUCGAGACGUCGGUUGAAACCGUGUGGCUAGAGUCCGGAAGAGGAGAGUGGAAUUCCCGGUGUAGCGGUGAAAUGCGCAGAUAUCGGGAAGAACACCCGUGGCGAAGGCGGCUCUCUGGGACGGUACUGACGCUGAGACGCGAAAGCGUGGGGAGCGAACAGG